Molecule: ribosomal RNA, 433 nt
Filed under: uncultured bacterium
Lineage: Bacteria
Description: partial 16S ribosomal RNA
Rfam family: Bacterial small subunit ribosomal RNA
Source: RNAcentral
AACGAACGCUGGCGGCAUGCCUAACACAUGCAAGUCGAACGAGACCUUCGGGCCUAGUGGCGCACGGGUGCGUAACGCGUGGGAACCUGCCCUUAGGUUCGGAAUAGCUCCCCGAAAGGGGUGCUAAUACCGGAUAAUGUCUUCGGACCAAAGAUUUAUCGCCUUUGGAUGGGCCCGCGUUGGAUUAGCUAGUUGGUAGGGUAAAAGCCUACCAAGGCGACGAUCCAUAGCUGGUCUGAGAGGAUGAUCAGCCACACUGGGACUGAGACACGGCCCAGACUCCUACGGGAGGCAGCAGUGGGGAAUAUUGGACAAUGGGCGAAAGCCUGAUCCAGCAAUGCCGCGUGAGUGAUGAAGGCCUUAGGGUUGUAAAGCUCUUUUACCCGGGAUGAUAAUGACAGUACCGGGAGAAUAAGCUCCGGCUAACUCCGUG